AGUAAAUUUUGUGGUCAAGCUACUAAGGGCGCAUGGUGGAUGCCUUGGCAGAAGCAGGCGAAGAAGGACGUGGCAAGCUGCGAUAAGCCUCGGGGAGCCGCAAGCAGGCUUUGAUCCGGGGAUUUCCGAAUGGGGAAACCCACGGGGGUAAAACCCCCGUACGGCGCGAUGAAUCCAUAGUCGCGCACGAGCGAACCCUGGGAAGUGAACCAUCUCAGUACCAGGAGGAAAAGAAAGAAACCUCGAUUGCGAGAGUAGUGGCGAGCGAAAUCGCAACAGCCUAAACCUGUUACACCUUCGGGUGAAGCAGGGGUUGUAGGGUCGGCAACAGUAGAGUUACCAAUUCAGUCGUUAACCGAAGCCCUCUGGAAAGAGGGGCCAUAGAGUGUGAUAGCCACGUAGGUAAAAACGAACUGAACUCGAAGCCGAUACCUGAGUACCGCGGAGCACGAGAAACUUUGCGGGAAGCUACGGGGACCAUCCCGUAAGGCUAAAUACUAGCUUCUGACCGAUAGUGAACCAGUACCGUGAGGGAAAGGCGAAAAGAACCCCUGCGAGGGGAGUGAAAUAGUACCUGAAACCGUGUGUCUACAAACGGUGGGAGGACUAUGCCGUCGCAAGACGGAAAGUCUGACCGCGUGCCUAUUGCAUAAUGAGCCGGCUAGU
Molecule: ribosomal RNA, 666 nt
Filed under: uncultured Acidobacteriota bacterium
Lineage: Bacteria; Pseudomonadati; Acidobacteriota
Description: bacterial LSU rRNA
Rfam family: Bacterial large subunit ribosomal RNA
Source: RNAcentral